CUUGUUGCAGCAGGGUUUUUUUCUCCAGAAAGGAAAAGAGAAGAACAUAAAACCAAAAUGUAGCAAUGCUUGUAUUGGAGCACUCCAGAGGUCUAUUUAACCCAAGAUGUCAGCAAGAAGAUGAGCAAUAGUGAAUGGAGAUGAUAAAAAAUCUGAAUUUUUCAAUUUUAUGAAUAGAAGAUUAAUUAUAUUGGGAAAAAAGUACAGCUUUCUGUAAUGCAUUCAAGGGAAAAAAAA
Molecule: long non-coding RNA, 237 nt
Filed under: Parus major (Great Tit)
Lineage: Eukaryota; Metazoa; Chordata; Aves; Passeriformes; Paridae
Description: lncRNA (ENSPMJG00000008847.1)
Source: RNAcentral